AGGACUAAAAGAGAAGCAGGGUCUGAUCCACAGCUUCCAUGGCAGCUGUUGAUCAGCCCUUGACUCUCUCUUUCUCUCCA
Myotis davidii is the source of this 80-nucleotide non-coding RNA. Lineage: Eukaryota; Metazoa; Chordata; Mammalia; Chiroptera; Vespertilionidae. The record is from Rfam.